GACUCGAAAGCCAAGCACUUGGGAUGGAAUAGAGAAAAAGCUCUGGUUUUAGGGACUCCUGUGAGCCCUGCUUACCCAGCACCCCAGAAUACUUCUCUUUUCUUGCCAGGUAUCAAUAACUUGUGUUACUAUUAAGUGUAAUAGAAAUAACAAGAAUAGGAUGGAGUGGGGAGCAUGUCUGAAGUGUUUCAAAACUUUACAAAUUAUUUUUAUGAGUCUCUGCCUUGGGAUCUUUAAGCCACAACUUUCAGGCAUCGUUGGCAAGACUACGAUAAAGUGUGUGUGCUACACCUGGCCUAGGGACUACACAUGUGGUGUGUAUCCUGACAGUGACUAUUAAUACUAAAUUAAAUCAUUAAAUCAAACCAGGGACGCCCAGCAGCCUCCAAUCUUGCCACUUUGUCCUGGUCAACGUGUGGUCCUCCACGGCUCCGGCUGUACUGAUGUGUUUGCUGAUGGCAGGGAUUCCAGGCGUUGGAGUUUGGAUUCCUGCUCUGCUUGCUUGCCCGUGUGACCUUGGCCUCUCUUUCCCUUAUCCCCCUUCAUCCUCAGGUUAGUCACCGUAACAAUGGAUUUGUUUCCAGUUAGAAGUCAUAUAGAUCGGCUCCACGGAGUUGUUGUGACCCAGUAAGCUAAUAUGUGUGGGUUACUCAGAAAAAAAAAAUGCCCAGUGUGUUGACAGUGGGACUUCUUCUGUGGAAAAACCAAAGGACGGGUAGACAGAUGCCGAGGCUCUGCCAGGGAAGGGAAGGGUCAGGCUGCAUAGCAGUGAUGACUGAAAACUGGGUCAGGCUGAAAAAAAGUCAGUCCUGGGAAUUUCCUCCCAGAAGGAAAAAAAAAACGUGUCAGCAGACAAGAACGACUCAGAGAAACCUGAGAUAAUGGCGAGCCCAUUGCACAACUUCCCAUCCCUCUCCCCUCCCCCACCAGGAAACUGUUUGAACUGACACAGGUGCCGUUUAUCUCUGGGUAGUGAAGACAGAAGCCUGUGCAUGUGACAAGCAGAUACGAGCACUAUCUGACCUCCUAAAGGGAGUCUUUAGGCUUUAUUCUUAACAUCUAAAGACUUCUGGGUAUGGGCUAUUUAUUACUUAAGGAAACAAAGUCCAGAGCACGACAACGGUCAGAGCGAAGCCUACUGUCUUUCACGCGAGCUUCCGGAGGGAGGAAAGGUUUAUCCGAGUGACGGCAGGAGGGUGUAAGGUGGAGAGCCACACAGCACCCACGCGCAGACAUCGGAGUUCUGCAUGCAAUCAUAGAGUGAUUUGGUUUCAUCAGCUGAAACCGCAGCAGCAUGCCGGGGAAACAGGAGGCUCUGACGGACUCGUGCACUAGUCAAACUGAAUCUUCUGACAUGGAGCGGAGACACCAGCCACAGCAAGCCAGUUGCCUGGUUCUAUGUGUAAAAUUUGAGUUUUCCUGUUGCAGAGGGACCACGUUUCUUUAAAGUCAGGAUUCAUAUCAAAUGUUUUUUUGAAGUGAGCCAGGUCUCGUUUCCCUGAAAAGAUGGCUGGUGGAAUGAAAACUCUUCAAAUGAAGCGGACGCAUGCACUUCUGUUAGCAUCGGAGCAAGCAAUGGCUUCGUAGAGAGGCGGCAUGAAGCCCCGUAGCCAGGCUCUGAGAGGAAGCAUGGCGGAGGGACACAAUGAGCCCUGAAGACGGGCGACCUGAAAGCGAAGCUGCCAGGACGGUGUUGUGGGGUUUCUCGAUUAUGACAGUACUGUGCCAGCACGGACAUUUGACAGCUCCGAAGACACUUUGGUUGCUACAAUUUGGCGAGGUGGGGGCAGUACUGCUUGGCACCUCAUGGGUAGAGGGCAGUAGCUAAGACAUUCCACAACGAACAAGCCAGCAUUUCAAAUAAGGCGUCAACAAAGUCUUAUUUGUGUGCGUGAUUAUUUUUCAAGUUGUUUAUGAAAAUGUUGCAUCAGCUGAUCUUAUCACCGAGGAAUUUCCCUUAA
Mus musculus (house mouse) is the source of this 1961-nucleotide long non-coding RNA. RefSeq annotates it as predicted gene, 32573. The transcript has 4 exons. Lineage: Eukaryota; Metazoa; Chordata; Mammalia; Rodentia; Muridae. The record is from RefSeq and is a predicted model, not a curated record.